ACUCAAAGGAAUAGACGGGGGCCCGCACAAGCGGUGGAGCAUGUGGUUUAAUUCGAUGCAACGCGAAGAACCUUACCUACUCUUGACAUUUUCCGAAUCCUGCUGAGAAGCGGGAGUGCCGAAAGGAACGGAAGGACAGGUGCUGCAUGGCUGUCGUCAGCUCGUGUUGUGAGAUGUUGGGUUAAGUCCCGUAACGAGCGCAACCCUUAUCCUUAGUUGCCAGCGCGUCAUGGCGGGGACUCUAAGGAGACUGCCGGUGGAGAACCGGAGGAAGGCGGGGACGACGUCAAGUCAUCAUGGCCUUUAUGAGUAGGGCCACACACGUGCUACAAUGGGGCAUACAGAGGGAAGCGAAGCGGCGACGUGGAGCGAAUCCUGAAAAGUGCCUCGUAGUCCGGAUUGGAGUCUGCAACUCGACUCUAUGAAGUUGGAAUCGCUAGUAAUCGCGAAUCAGAACGUCGCGGUGAAUACGUUCCCGGGCCUUGUACACACCGCCCGU
RNAcentral lists this ribosomal RNA (499 nucleotides) under uncultured bacterium. Its description in RNAcentral is "partial 16S ribosomal RNA". It matches the Rfam family "Bacterial small subunit ribosomal RNA", at positions 899 to 1397 of the family's 1533-position model. The record is from RNAcentral.